RNAcentral lists this ribosomal RNA (403 nucleotides) under Virgibacillus indicus. RNAcentral describes it as "bacterial SSU rRNA". It matches the Rfam family "Bacterial small subunit ribosomal RNA", at positions 771 to 1185 of the family's 1533-position model. The record is from RNAcentral. Lineage: Bacteria; Bacillati; Bacillota; Bacilli; Caryophanales; Bacillaceae.
AACAGGAUUAGAUACCCUGGUAGUCCACGCCGUAAACGAUGAGUACUAAACGUUGGGUAAAACCAGUGUUGAAGUUAACACAUUAAGUACUCCGCCUGAGUAGUACGUACGCAAGUAUGAAACUUAAAGGAAUUGACGGGACUCCGCACAAGCGGUGGAUCAUGUUGUUUAAUUCGAAGGUACCCGAAAAACCUCACCAGGUCUUGACAUGCUUCUGCAAAGCUGUAGAAACACAGUGGAGGUUAUCAGUUGCACAGGUGGUGCAUGGUUGUCGUCAGCUCGUGUCGUGAGAUGUUGGGUUAAGUCCCGCAACGAGCGCAACCCUUAUUGCCAGUUGCCAUCAUUCAGUUGGGCACUCAGGCGAAACUGCCCCGGAUAACGGGGAGGAAGGUGGGGAUGACGU